AUUAGUGAGUUCUAGUUUUACUUUACAAAAACAAUUACAACAAUUUCUUAAUUUGAAUUUAAAACAAGUGGUAAUUAGCAACAUACAAUAAUAAUUAUACAAUCCCAAAAGAAUAGUCUACCAAUGUGUGUGUCAAAACCUGAUGUCACAAGUAUAUGGGCAUCUAGUAGAAUAUACAAAAAAAUAAAUCUAUCAUACUGUUUGAAAUAGAAUAGACAGCCAAAAGCAAAGAGAGACUCCAUCAUGCUGCUGAACGGUAUAGGAAGAGAGCAUCUCACCGUGAAAUCUCGGACUACGAUCAAGAAUGUGCACUAGACUGGUAGCCAGAUGUACCUGCCUCAGAUCAUGUACAAUUAAGUACAGAAGCGUAGUAUGAGUACAUAAACAAUAUGUACCCAGUAAGUAUCCCGACUAAUCUCGAAGAAGUAGAGACGAGAGGUCAACUUGACACUUACUAGGGUCAAAUAAUAUAAGAAAGUGUUAUGCUAAGCAUGGAUGUCACAAAUAAUUAAUAAUUUAUAACAAAAAGUGAUAGGUCAUUUCCUAGAUAAUAUCGCAAUUAGCCAUUUACAUUCCAGGGCAUUUAACAAAGUUCAAUUCAUAGAAAAAUACCGAGCAAGAAGCAUGCACAAAUAGUGUCGAAGUCGUACGGCCCGAUCCAACAUAAAAAUAAAGUGUGCACUGUCGGAGGGUCGAACGACACGAACCAUAGUUGUAUCUAUUACCCCGCUCGCAAAUCAUACAUGCGACACAGUCAAAUAUAAUUAAACACAACAAACAGUCAGACAGGAAUAUAUCAGGGAAGCAAUUACUCAAAGAAAUGUCAACUUCUCUUUAAAAGGUCAAGAAAAUGAUGUUCCUCUUUAUAAUUUCAUUUACCACAUUCAUCGUGAUUUAAGCAAUUCAAAUUGACCAUAAAGUUACAAGAAUAUCACAUAAAGCAUGCUUUUGGAUCCUAAACUACCCGGACUUGAGAAUAAUAGUGGUUGUGCACAGACUCUCGUCACCUAAUGCGUACGUAGCCCCUGCAUUUAGUGGAAAAUUAUUAAAUUAUUUCACCUAUGGGGACAAUUCCCUCUUACAAGGUUAGAAAGGAUACUCACUUCGCUCCAAAGCGUACUUCCAAUAUCAAGAACGUGCUCAAACCCUCAAUUUGGAGCUGAACGGUCCAAAACUAAUUAAACGAGGUAGGAACUAGUUAAUACAAGCUUACAAGUUCGCAUUCUACCUAUUAAAGUAAUUUACCAACCCUAAACACAAGUUUUUUAAAAUCCAUCCCCGGACCCACAUGCCCGAAUUCCAAAAUUUUUUGAAGAAAGUUGUUCUCUAUAACCUAAGGAUCAAGAAUAUAUAAUUUCUAGUUUAUUCCAUAACAAAUUUCGUAGUUAAAUCUUAUUUUUAUCAAAACCCUAAUUAUACUCUAAUCCCAUAAUUUUUCACUAAUCUUUGUGUUAAUCUACCCAAAACCCAAGUAUUAAACUCAGAAUAAGUAGGAAUAACUUACCUUAAGAUGCUAGGUGAAAAUCUUCUCUCAAGAGCCCCAAAAUCGCCCAACUUAUGAGUGGAAAAUGAGCCAAAUAUGGCUAACACCAGCAAUAAAUGAAGGUCACUGCUUCAGUGAUUUCCGCAUCUGCGGUCCUGGGCCGCACCUGCGCCCACCGCAUAUGAGGAACAGUGUCCACUUCUGUAGGGAGAAAACCGCUUCUGCGGCUCCGCUUCUACAGGUCUCGCACUUGUAGCUGACCAACUGCAUGUGCAGUUAUGGCAGAAGACUGGAGCUUCAGUCUCUAAGGCCCUCGGCAAAGAGUUUCCCGCAAGUGCACCACGGUUAAUUCAGGUUUUACCCAGUCCGAUGACCCUCAGAAAUUGUUUGUACCCAGUAGGUUUCGAACUCGAGACCUUGAAAGGGAGCAAACCCCAAAGCUUCAGCUCCUUUUUAAAUUUUCCAACUUCACUCGAGCCUCGUCCGAAAUCAUCAUACCAACCUGUUGGAAUCUUCAAAUCUAGAUUCUGAGAUCGUUUACUCAAACCGUUGACCAAAGUCAAACUUGACCUUUUAAGCCAACCUUGAGGAACCAAGUGUUCCGAUUUCAACCCAAACUCUUCCAAAUCCCAAAUCAACCAUUCCCACAAGUCAUAAAUCAGUAAAAGCAAGUACGAAAAGUCUUAUCUAGGGGAACGGGGUUCUAAAAAGUAAAACGACCAAUCGGGUCGUUACAUCUAUAUUUGUUUCUUUAGAUAAACUAUGAAUAAUGUUCGAGGAAUUCACAUUAGGCUAAAAACAAUCAGUUUUCAGUUUCAUGUAAUAUACCGUAUGUCAUUAAGACAAGUCAAUUCGUUGUUCUGCUUUGGAUUUCACUAAUUCUGAUUGACAUAAUCAAACAGCUACAAGAAAAUAAAUAAAAACGGGAAUCAAUCAAAUAAAAUGUGGAAGCUUUUUUGUUUUGUUUGUGUAGGCAGCCUUUUUUUUGUCUUUCGUUUCUUUCUAGUGAACAUGACUAAUUAGUAAUCCUUUUGUGACUAUUAUAAUAAAUUAGUAAGUGUUAAGAGACAAAAUAAUUAAAUAUUUUAAAUACGCUAUUAGCCCAUGUGUUCAUAUCCAAACCUUGGAUUAAUAUGCUUAAAUAAAAAAAGGGUCAUGUGCGCAUUCCUGCAUCUCAAUGCCCUUAAAUGUAAAAUAAUUAAGUUUUAACCAUGUGUACAUUCAGUUCCUUGGUUUAACAUCUAACUUCAAAAAAAAAAAAAAUACCUUGUGUGCCUACCGCAUCUAGGUCAAAACAAUUAAUAAAAAAUAUAAUAAAUUAAGUGAAGUGGUAAUAGACAAGCCAUAAUCAAUAAAAUACAAGAAUAGUCAAGAAUUGACUUAAGCCGAACAUUAGUCAAUAAAAGCGACCGUGCUAGAACCACGAGACUUGAGGGGUGCCUUAUACCUUCCUCUCGGUCAACAGAAUUCCUUACUCAGUCUUAUGUUUUCAUAGACCAUGAAUUAGUAGUCAAAUCUUCCUUUUGAUAAGGGAUUCAAUAAAAGGUGACUUGGAACACCAAAACUCAAUUCCAAGUGACAACUCUAAAUAAUAAAUAAUUUCUUUUCAAAACGUCACUUUAAUUGGAAAAACUCUUCUAACUCAACCUCGUAAUAGGGUUGUGGGAAAAAAGAGGUGUGACAGUGUGGUGUUCUAUACCUGUCUUACCCGAGCGGACAACUCGAGCCGAAGAGACAAUGUAUCGGGAACCAAAAGGUCAUCCGACUUUGUAACUGAUCUGAUCAUCGUUCUAAAAUUAGGGGUAUGACACUCUAACAUAAAAGAAGUCACACCAGCGUGCGCAUCCCAGAAGAUUUAGAAGACUCAUAAAAAAGAAGGGAGUCGUAACAAUUUUAUAUAUAGUUCACGCAAUAUCAAAGUAGUAAAGAGCGGCAUUUAGCACAUUAGGCUCAAACAUGUAAUAUCAGACAAUAACAAGAAGCCAAGUAUAACAAUUAUUCUAAGCUCGAAUUCUGAAUCCUGAAUCAGAAGUUCUAUAUUCGAAUCCCCACUAGAGUCGCCAGAGCUGUCACACCAUCUUUUUCCCGAGGGAUAGGGAGUUUUUCCAAUAAAAGUGACAUUAUUCGAAAUGGAAUUAUUUAUGUAAUUAGAGUCGCCACUUGGAAUAAUUAUUAUGGUGUCCCAAGUCAGUGGUUUAUUUUAAAAUCUCAAAUAGAGAAAAUUGACUCUAUUUAUUAUCCGCAAAUACAAAAGACCGAGUAAGAAAUUCUGUUAACCCUAAAAAAGUGUGAGGCACUCUCGAGUUUUGUGAUUUUAGUACGGUCACUUAACCAUUAAUAUUUGACUUAAUUAUCCAAAUUAUUACAUGUUUAAAACCUAUUGCGCAUUUUAUCUUUCGUCACUUUUAAUUAAAUAUUUAACCGCUCUUUAGUAGUUAUGGAGCUAUGUUAAACAAGUUACGAUGUCGUACACUUGUAGUUCUGGUACAUAUUGCAAGUCGUGCAACGUGAAAUGUACUCGCGCUUUACAAUAUAUCUAUCAUUAUUAUUUUAAGUUGCGGUCAAGUCGCGUGAACGCGCACUUGAGUUGGGAUUUACAUAUCAUGACUAUGCCAUAGGAACUGUACCCACAGUCACAAUGAUUUAUUAUUGAUUGCGCCUAAAGCAAACUACGCGUGUUUACAAAUUGUUCAUUUCCUAUGUUUGAGAUUUUUGAAGGUCACACAUUAUGGCAAAGGAAUUGUUGGAGUCAAGAUUUGAGUCAUUCAUAUGACUAAGGAACUUGGUGCAGUUAAUUCAAGUCAAGAGUUUAUGGUGACCAAUUCGAUGAGUCACUAUUAGGAAUUUUGUUGAAUCUACACAUUGGGAUUAUCAUGAGAUGAAAUAGUCAUAAGCAAUUAAAUAUUCCAAUUAUGGAUUUCAACAAGUUAAAAUCGAAGAGAUUAGCUUCUUUCUACUAUUACUCCACGUCUAAAGUGAGCGACAUGCCCAUUAUAGCCUUGAAGUCGCUAGGCAGUUUACUGUAGAGCACAGUUAACUUUAAACUCAUACCUAGGCCCAAUUGCACAUGCACAGACUGGGCCCAAACUCUACGCAAGGUGCAUGCCAACAACAUUGAGAAUUUGAGCAGAUUAUAAUGUGUGGACUUAAAAAUGAAAUAAUUCUGUUAAUUAUAAGGGUAGAGAUAAUCACAAUUAAUCAUAAAACUUGUCAAAUCUAAUAUGAAUUACAAAAAGAAACUAUUAACAAAAUCUAUAUUUAAUUCUUAGUCAGGCUACAUCUUGUGCCAAGGAAAAUCAUUUUUGGUUCACAUGCUUUCGCAUCCUCCGAUUGAAGUUGAGUUUUUUGUGGGAGAACGAACUAACUAAAAUUGACAUGCCAAGUCAAAUACCAAGUCAAAUAAGUUGUUUAUCAUGCAAUACACUGCUUCGUGACACGCUAUUAAUGCUCAGCCCCAAUUCAAAGUUCACCCAUGCUCACAAAUAGUAGUUUCAUUAAACACCAUGAUCACAAAAGGAAAAAUUUAAAUAAAAUCUGUAGAAAUUAAAUACGAUUCAACCUAUCUUCAAACUUUAAAAAAAAAAAAAUCAUGCACUUAAGCCUAAAAUGAUCAGGUAACUCAUAACAAGAUUCCUAAUCGAAAGGAGGAGGUUAUAUCAAUUCAAAUCAUGCUUCAAAUUACUUCAAUGUCUUCAAACUAAACUCUAAAUUGAAUCAAAAGUAUCAUUCAUCACACAUUGCACUAACCGAAAUUCAGGAAUUUGAAUAUCUCUACAGAAAUGAAAUAGAGACUCAGCCAUUUUUAGUCAUUCAAAUAAAGCACAAUACAUAAGAGUUUUGAACUUACCUAGUUGAAACAACAAAUAUACUAUAAAUAAGCCAAAUUAAAGCAGAAUUCCAGACCUAGAUGAAUUUUCCAGUAAUUCCAGCAAUAAAAUCAGCAACUCUAACAAUCAAACAGCCCUUUUAGACCCAGGAGGUGUAAAGAAGAAGAAUGGAAGCAGGAAAAACAGCUUGAAAUCUUCUUUUUUUCCGAAAUUCUUUAUAUCUGAUAUUUUCUUAGAAAGAGGUAGAGUUUUUUUGCUUUUUGCAUCAGUAUGUGUCCAGUCCUUUUGGCUGCCUAAAAAUGUGUAUUUAUAACAGCAUUUGUUAGGGCAACACCCAGAUUUUCUAAAUUCAUUCCCACCUUUUAAACAUUCUAUCAUUUAUCCUUAGACCCCAAAUUUUGACCUUUUCCUGUUUUCUUUUGCAGAGACAGCCCUAUUUUCUUUUUCCUGGAAGCUUCUUUAAGCUGUAACAGAAAGAUUCCUCAAGUUUAUUUAUAUUGCCAUCUCCCUCCCUUUGAAUUUCUGUUAAUGGCACUUUAUUAGCAAACAAAAAUCUGGGCCUAUGACCAAAGCCCAAUGGUUCCUAAACAUAGUUGGCCCGUCUAGGACAGACCCAAUCCCCUGAAAAUUAGACCUACUGAAAAAUCAUGCAAUCAUGCGGAAACUUGAAGUCUAAGGCUACAACAUCCGAUAAUAGUUCAAACAAAAUUAUCAUGCAUUUAAUCUAUUUGGUAGUUCCAAUACAAAUCAACAUGAUUUAACAAUAAAGUGACUCAACAAAGCUUUAACAGUUGUAAAACUCACAACAUGACUAAACUUAGUUAAUAUCUAAUCAAAAACUUAAGAAGAACAAAGAAGAAAGGGAAAGGGAUUACCUAAUCGAAACAUAGCUGCCGGAGAAAAAGACAUCCGGCUAACAGCCAACAUCGCUACAUGAGCAUUAGCCCACACUCGAGGCGUAACCAAUGCUAUAUGUGACGUUAUCCGCCAUAUACCGACCGAAGAAAUCAACGUUAUGGGAAUUCCAUGGUGCUGGCCGGUCAAUAAUGAGUUGACCGGAUUCUGGUGGCCUAGAAUAGGUCAAAACUAACUUCAAUUGACAAUUCUCAACAAGAGUGUUUGAUUGGCAUUGGUUUGAGACUCAGGUAGGCCAGAAUUUGGGGAAGAAUCGAAAUGGCGGUAGAUUUAGGUUUUUGUGACUUCCUAGAUCUAAAAUCCGCGGAGUUAUAGGGACUACUAAAGGAAGCGGGUUGGGAUUAGGAAUGAGGAGGAAAAGGAGAUUGUGUGGUGAAGAUUUGGGGUCAUUUGGGGACUGCCCGCUGCCGUAGGGCGAUUUCCGACAGCGGAGACGGCGGAUUGGUGGGAGAGAGGUGAGAGAGAUGAGUAUGUGAGUUCUUUGGGGGGUC
Molecule: long non-coding RNA, 6716 nt
Filed under: Nicotiana tabacum (common tobacco)
Lineage: Eukaryota; Viridiplantae; Streptophyta; Magnoliopsida; Solanales; Solanaceae
Description: long non-coding RNA (NTAB_LNC010431)
Source: RNAcentral